GUCCACGCCGUAAACGAUGAGUGCUUGGUGUAGCGGGUAUCGACCCCUGCUGUGCCGAAGUCAACACAUUAAGCACUCCGCCUGGGGAGUACGGUCGCAAGACUGAAACUCAAAGGAAUUGACGGGGGCCCCGCACAAGCGGUGGAGCAUGUGGUUUAAUUCGAAGCAACGCGCAGAACCUUACCUGGGUUUGAACUUCAGAGGAAAGGGUCAGAGAUGACUUCCUCCCUUCGGGGAUCUCUGGAGAGGUGCUGCAUGGCUGUCGU
This 266-nucleotide ribosomal RNA is filed under the name uncultured bacterium. Its description in RNAcentral is "partial 16S ribosomal RNA". It matches the Rfam family "Bacterial small subunit ribosomal RNA", at positions 793 to 1055 of the family's 1533-position model. The record is from RNAcentral.